GCCGCUUUAGCUCAGUUGGUAGAGCACGUCAUUCGUAAUGAUGGGGUCAGGUGUUCGAGUCACCUAAGCGGCACCA
This 76-nucleotide transfer RNA is filed under the name Lacibacterium aquatile. RNAcentral describes it as "tRNA-Thr". It matches the Rfam family "tRNA". Rfam says of the family: Transfer RNA (tRNA) molecules are approximately 80 nucleotides in length. Their secondary structure includes four short double-helical elements and three loops (D, anti-codon, and T loops). The record is from RNAcentral. Lineage: Bacteria; Pseudomonadati; Pseudomonadota; Alphaproteobacteria; Rhodospirillales; Rhodospirillaceae. RNAcentral also lists the same sequence under 3 other names.